GAUUUGAAGAGUUUGAUCAUGGCUCAGAAUCAACGCUGGCGGCGUGCCUAACACAUGCAAGUCGAACGCGGUUACCCCGCAAGGGGUAACUGAGUGGCGAACGGGUGAGUAACACGUGGGUGACCUACCUUCGAAUGGGGGAUAACGUCCCGAAAGGGACGCUAAUACCGCAUAACAUCCUGCCUUUGAACAGGUGGAGAUCAAAGCCGGGGAUCGCAAGACCUGGCGUUUGAAGAGGGGCCCGCGUCCGAUUAGCUAGUUGGUGGGGUAACGGCUCACCAAGGCAACGAUCGGUAGCCGGCCUGAGAGGGCGGACGGCCACACUGGGACUGAGACACAGCCCAGACUCCUACGGGAGGCAGCAGUGGGGAAUUGUUCGCAAUGGGCGCAAGCCUGACGACGCAACGCCGCGUGGAGGAUGAAGGUCUUCGGAUUGUAAACUCCUGUUGCCCGGGACGAAAAGCUCCGACCUAACACGUCGGAGUCUGACGGUACCGGGUGAGGAAGCCCCGGCUAACUCUGUGCCAGCAGCCGCGGUAAUACAGAGGGGGCAAGCGUUGUUCGGAAUUACUGGGCGUAAAGGGCGCGUAGGUGGCCUGUUAAGUCGAACGUGAAAUCCCCGGGCUCAACCCGGGAACUGCGUCCGAAACUGGCAGGCUUGAAUCCGGGAGAGGGAUGUGGAAUUCCAGGUGUAGCGGUGAAAUGCGUAGAUAUCUGGAGGAACACCGGUGGCGAAGGCGGCAUCCUGGACCGGUAUUGACACUGAGGCGCGAAAGCCAGGGGAGCAAACGGGAUUAGAUACCCCGGUAGUCCUGGCCCUAAACGAUGAAUGCUUGGUGUGGCGGGUAUCGAUCCCUGCCGUGCCGAAGCUAACGCAUUAAGCAUUCCGCCUGGGGAGUACGGUCGCAAGGCUGAAACUCAAAGGAAU
This 928-nucleotide ribosomal RNA is filed under the name uncultured bacterium. Its description in RNAcentral is "bacterial SSU rRNA". It matches the Rfam family "Bacterial small subunit ribosomal RNA", at positions 1 to 910 of the family's 1533-position model. The record is from RNAcentral.